Molecule: ribosomal RNA, 408 nt
Filed under: uncultured bacterium
Lineage: Bacteria
Description: bacterial SSU rRNA
Rfam family: Bacterial small subunit ribosomal RNA
Source: RNAcentral
GUGGGGAAUAUUGCACAAUGGGGGAAACCCUGAUGCAGCGACGCCGCGUGAGCGAAGAAGUAUUUCGGUAUGUAAAGCUCUAUCAGCAGGGAAGAAAAAAAUGACGGUACCUGAGUAAGAAGCACCGGCUAAAUACGUGCCAGCAGCCGCGGUAAUACGUAUGGUGCAAGCGUUAUCCGGAUUUACUGGGUGUAAAGGGAGCGUAGGCGGCGCGUUAAGUCUGAUGUGAAAACCCGAGGCUCAACCACGGGAGUGCAUUGGAAACUGGCGGGCUGGAGUGCCGGAGAGGUAAGCGGAAUUCCUAGUGUAGCGGUGAAAUGCGUAGAUAUUAGGAGGAACACCAGUGGCGAAGGCGGCUUACUGGACGGCAACUGACGCUGAGGCUCGAAAGCGUGGGGAGCAAACAGG